AACGCACAUUGCGCCCCCUGGCAUUCCGGGGGGCAUGCCUGUCCGAGCGUCAUUUCUGCCCUCAAGCACGGCUUGUGUGUUGGGUGUGGUCCCCCUGGGGACCUGCCCGAAAGGCAGCGGCGACGUCCGUCUGGUCCUCGAGCGUAUGGGGCUCUGUCACUCGCUCGGGAAGGACCUGCGGGGGUUGGUCACCACCACAUCUUUUUACAAGGUUGACCUCGGAUCAGGUAGGAGUUACCCGCUGAACUUAA
This 251-nucleotide unclassified non-coding RNA is filed under the name uncultured fungus. RNAcentral's name for it is "partial contains 5.8S ribosomal RNA, internal transcribed spacer 2, and large subunit ribosomal RNA". Lineage: Eukaryota; Fungi. The record is from RNAcentral. RNAcentral also lists the same sequence under 2 other names.